This is a non-coding RNA of Oryctolagus cuniculus (rabbit), 45 nucleotides long. NCBI's taxonomy places the organism in Eukaryota, Metazoa, Chordata, Mammalia, Lagomorpha, Leporidae. The record is from Rfam.
ACAACGGCUCUUUUCAGAGCCCCCAAGUCAGCAGAAAAGGCUUGU